AGCAUCCUCCUCUUAGGAAUUU
RNAcentral lists this microRNA (22 nucleotides) under Tribolium castaneum (red flour beetle). Its description in RNAcentral is "tca-miR-3821-5p". Lineage: Eukaryota; Metazoa; Arthropoda; Insecta; Coleoptera; Tenebrionidae. The record is from miRBase by way of RNAcentral.